GGGUGACAGGUGGUGGCAUGGUUGUCGUCAGCUCGUGUCGUGAGAUGUUGGGUUAAGUCCCGCAACGAGCGCAACCCUCGACCUUAGUUGCCAGCAUUCAGUUGGGCACUCUAAGGUGACUGCCGGCUAAAAGUCGGAGGAAGGUGGGGAUGACGUCAAAUCAUCAUGCCCCUUAUGACCUGGGCUACACACGUGCUACAAUGGGCGGUACAAAGGGUCGCGAACCCGCGAGGGGGAGCCAAUCCCAAAAAGCCGCUCUCAGUUCGGAUUGCAGGCUGCAACUCGCCUGCAUGAAGCCGGAAUCGCUAGUAACCGCGGAUCAGCAUGCCGCGGUGAAUACGUUCCCGGGCCUU
This 353-nucleotide ribosomal RNA is filed under the name uncultured Anoxybacillus sp. Its description in RNAcentral is "bacterial SSU rRNA". It matches the Rfam family "Bacterial small subunit ribosomal RNA", at positions 1029 to 1382 of the family's 1533-position model. The record is from RNAcentral. Lineage: Bacteria; Bacillati; Bacillota; Bacilli; Caryophanales; Anoxybacillaceae.